AGAGCGAACGCUGGCGGCAGGCCUAACACAUGCAAGUCGAACGGACCCUUCGGGGUUAGUGGCGGACGGGUGAGUAACACGUGGGAACGUGCCUUUUGGUUCGGAAUAGCUCCUGGAAACGGGUGGUAAUGCCGAAUGUGCCCUUCGGGGGAAAGAUUUAUCGCCAUUAGAGCGGCCCGCGUCUGAUUAGCUAGUUGGUGAGGUAAUGGCUCACCAAGGCGACGAUCAGUAGCUGGUCUGAGAGGAUGACCAGCCACAUUGGGACUGAGACACGGCCCAAACUCCUACGGGAGGCAGCAGUGGGGAAUCUUGCGCAAGUGGGCGAAAGCCUGACGCAGCCAUGCCGCGUGAAUGAUGAAGGUCUAGGAUUAGUAAAUUCUUCACCGGGACGAUAAUGACGGUACCGGAGAAGAACGCCCGCUAACUUCGUGCCAGCAGCCGC
RNAcentral lists this ribosomal RNA (442 nucleotides) under uncultured soil bacterium. Its description in RNAcentral is "bacterial SSU rRNA". It matches the Rfam family "Bacterial small subunit ribosomal RNA", at positions 26 to 518 of the family's 1533-position model. The record is from RNAcentral.